GACGAACGCUGGCGGCGUGCUUAACACAUGCAAGUCGAACGGAAAGGCCCUGCUUUUGUGGGGUGCUCGAGUGGCGAACGGGUGAGUAACACGUGAGUAACCUGCCCUUGACUUUGGGAUAUCUCCGGGAAACGGGGGUAAUAACGGGUAAGAACCCCUGGCGCCUGGUGGGGGGUGGGAAGGUUUCGGCGGUGGGGAUGGUACUCGGGGCUUAUCAGCUGGUUGUGGGGGUGGUGGCUUACAAGGGCUUUGACGGGUAGCCGGCCUGAGGGGGUGACCGGCCACAUUGGGACUGAGAUACGGCCCAGUCUCCUACGGGCGGCAGCAGUGGGGAAUAUUGCACAAUGGGCGGAAGCCUGAUGCAGCAACGCCGCGUGCGGAAUGACGGCCUUCGGGUUGUAAACCGCUUUCGCCUGUGACGAGGCGUGAGUGACGGUAAUGGGUAAAGAAGCACCGGCUAACUACGUG
This 468-nucleotide ribosomal RNA is filed under the name uncultured bacterium. RNAcentral describes it as "partial 16S ribosomal RNA". It matches the Rfam family "Bacterial small subunit ribosomal RNA", at positions 28 to 507 of the family's 1533-position model. The record is from RNAcentral.